AUGUUUUGGAUGGAUUUUCAGGUGUUUGUGAAGAACCAGAAGACCAGGGCCUACUCCAAGCGGUUCCAAGUGAAGUUCAAGAGAAGGAGACAGGGGAAGACCGAUUACAGGGCCAGGCUCAGGCUCACCAACCAAGACAAGAACAAGUACAACACGCCCAAGUACCGGUUUGUUGUACGAUUUACCAACAAAGAUGUCACUGCCCAAAUUGUGUACGCUACCAUUGCUGGUGAUAUCGUGAUGGCUGCUGCCUAUUCCCAUGAGCUUCCUCGGUAUGGUCUUGAAGUUGGCCUCACCAACUAUGCUGCAGCGUACUGCACUGGUCUGCUUUUGGCCCGCCGUGUGCUCAAGUGCCGUGAUUUGGAUCAGGAAUAUGAGGGCAAUGUUGAGGCCACUGGGGAGGACUUCUCUGUUGAGCCGGCUGAUGAGAGGAGGCCUUUCCGCGCGCUCUUGGAUGUUGGCCUUAUUAGGACCACUACUGGAAACCGUGUGUUUGGUGCCCUUAAGGGAGCUUUGGAUGGUGGUCUUGAUAUUCCGCACAGUGACAAGAGAUUUGCUGGCUUCAAGAAGGAUGAGAAGCAGCUGGACGCUGAGAUUCACCGCAAAUACAUCUAUGGAGGGCAUGUUGCUGACUACAUGAAGUCACUGGCUGAUGAGGAACCUGAGAAGUACCAAUCUCACUUCAGUGAGUACAUCAAGAAGGGGAUUGAGGCUGAUAACAUGGAAGCACUGUACAAGAAGGUUCAUGCUGCCAUUCGUGCUGAUCCUACCAUGGCAAAGUCAACCAAGGAACCUCCAAAGACGCACAAGAGGUACAACCCCAAGAAGCUGACCUACGAGCAGAGGAAGGCCAGUCUCGUGGAGCGGCUCAACGCCCUCAACUCAUCUGCUGGUGCUGAUGUCGAUGAGGACGACGACGAAUGA
RNAcentral lists this ribosomal RNA (924 nucleotides) under Triticum aestivum (bread wheat). Its description in RNAcentral is "partial small subunit ribosomal RNA". The record is from RNAcentral. Lineage: Eukaryota; Viridiplantae; Streptophyta; Magnoliopsida; Poales; Poaceae.